GGGAAUGCCCAUAAUUUCUGAAAGAGUUGUUAAGAAAGGGGAUCAAGUAUGAGGAGGACCCUGCCAAGAGGCGCAAGAAGAAUUAAAGUUGCAAACGGUGUAGAAGCUGAAGUCGAAGCCAUUGCAGAAUUUCACUUAGAAUUACAUAGUGGCUUUGUACUUUGUUUGAGAGAUGUUCUUUAUGUACCGUCUUUGCAACGAAACUUAAUAAGUGUGUCUAAAUUAGAUGAUGACGCUAUUGCUUGUCAUUUUGGUGAUGGCAAGUGUAAGAUACAAGUUAAUUCAGAAUGUGUUGGUCUUGCCUUC
This is a long non-coding RNA of Panicum virgatum (switchgrass), 306 nucleotides long. RefSeq lists it as uncharacterized. The record is from RefSeq and is a predicted model, not a curated record. The transcript has 2 exons. Lineage: Eukaryota; Viridiplantae; Streptophyta; Magnoliopsida; Poales; Poaceae.